This 253-nucleotide ribosomal RNA is filed under the name uncultured prokaryote. RNAcentral's name for it is "partial 16S ribosomal RNA". It matches the Rfam family "Bacterial small subunit ribosomal RNA", at positions 524 to 776 of the family's 1533-position model. The record is from RNAcentral.
UACGUAGGGUGCAAGCGUUAAUCGGAAUUACUGGGCGUAAAGCGUGCGCAGGCGGCUUUGCAAGACAGAUGUGAAAUCCCCGGGCUUAACCUGGGAACUGCAUUUGUGACUGCAUGGCUGGAGUGCGGCAGAGGGGGAUGGAAUUCCGCGUGUAGCAGUGAAAUGCGUAGAUAUUGGGAGGAACACCAGUGGCGAAGGCGGCUCACUGGACCGGUACUGACGCUGAUGCGCGAAAGCGUGGGGAGCAAACGGG